CCAAUGAUCACCCUUAUGUUUUGCACAGCUUCCGGCACCAUUUUCCACGCCCCGUCCUGACAUAAUCUCAAGUUUAUCAGAGCUCAGUCUGAUCCACCAAGGCAAGGGAGGGGAAAUCUAUCUUCCUCUUGAAGGCAAUAUGUCUGCAAGGUGGAAGAGUUUUAGGUCUGUUACCUGCGCAACUUGCCCCAGCACAUAAUUUAAAUUACUCUGCAUGUGCAGUGUUUACUGUAGAAAUGUGGCACAUAUAAACGCCAACCACCAUGACCACUUCAAAUCAAUGAACUGGUCAUGGUGGUUGGAGCAGCCAUUUAAAACCGGGAACAAAGAGAACGCAUAGUCAAGAAAUAUGUAACAUGCCGGCUAUACUAAAGACCAGGAAAUUUGAACACAAGAGCUG
Pelobates cultripes (western spadefoot toad) is the source of this 400-nucleotide non-coding RNA. NCBI's taxonomy places the organism in Eukaryota, Metazoa, Chordata, Amphibia, Anura, Pelobatidae. The record is from the annotation of a GenBank genome assembly.